This 212-nucleotide ribosomal RNA is filed under the name uncultured bacterium. RNAcentral's name for it is "partial 16S ribosomal RNA". It matches the Rfam family "Bacterial small subunit ribosomal RNA", at positions 128 to 334 of the family's 1533-position model. The record is from RNAcentral.
GCCCAAGAGACUGGGAUAACACCUGGAAACAGAUGCUAAUACCGGAUAACAACACUAGACGCAUGUCUAGAGUUUAAAAGAUGGUUCUGCUAUCACUCUUGGAUGGACCUGCGGUGCAUUAGCUAGUUGGUAAGGUAACGGCUUACCAAGGCAAUGAUGCAUAGCCGAGUUGAGAGACUGAUCGGCCACAUUGGGACUGAGACACGGCCCAA